Molecule: RNA transcript, 13377 nt
Organism: Chiroxiphia lanceolata (lance-tailed manakin)
Lineage: Eukaryota; Metazoa; Chordata; Aves; Passeriformes; Pipridae
Gene: NCOA3
Gene name: nuclear receptor coactivator 3
Exons: 25
Source: RefSeq, a predicted model, not a curated record
CCUCGCGCCGCCGGUGCCUCCGCUCGGGGCCCGAUUUAAAAAUCCAGGCAGCGAAGGAAAAUGGCGGCGCGGGGCUGAGGGUGGCGGGGACGGUGAUAGGGAGCCGGGGCUUUGGCUCCUUUCCCAGGCAUUCCUAUGGGCUUCUGUUGGAGAGAACACUGUGCUAGGAUGUGACUUAAAAUGACUUCUGAUUCUGAAGGUCCUCUGAAAAACCUGCUGUGCUUGAAUGUUUGCUAAGGACGAGUAAUUGCUGAUGCAUGGUCAAAAUGAGUGGAUUAGGAGAAAACUCCUUGGAUAGCUUGACCAACGAGUCGAGGAAGCGCAAACCAUUGCCCUGUGAUACACCAGGUGCAAGUCUGACCUGCAGUGGUGAGAAGCGUCGGCGUGAGCAGGAAAGCAAAUACAUUGAAGAACUGGCUGAGCUGAUCUCUGCUAAUCUGAGCGACAUCGACAAUUUCAAUGUCAAACCAGACAAAUGUGCUAUUUUAAAAGAAACCGUGAGGCAGAUUCGACAGAUAAAAGACCAAGGAAAAGCAGUUUCUAAUGAUGAUGAUGUUCAGAAAGCUGAUGUAUCUUCUACCGGUCAAGGAGUUAUUGACAAGGAUUCACUGGGGCCUCUUUUGUUACAGGCAUUGGAUGGCUUCCUGUUUGUUGUAAAUCGAGAUGGGAACAUAGUGUUUGUAUCAGAAAAUGUCACACAGUAUCUGCAGUACAAGCAAGAGGAUUUGGUUAAUACAAGUGUCUAUGGGAUCUUGCAUGAAGAGGACCGGAAAGACUUUCUUAAAAACUUACCUAAAUCUUCAGUCAAUGGAGUGGCUUGGAGCAGUGAAACCCCCAGGCAGAAGAGUCACACGUUCAACUGCCGGAUGAUGGUGAAAAGCUCCCAUGAGCUUUUGGAAGACGUGGGCAGCCACCAGGAUGGACGGCAGAGAUAUGAAACCAUGCAGUGCUUUGCUUUGUCACAGCCAAGAGCUAUGAUGGAAGAGGGGGAAGAUUUGCAAUCCUGCAUGAUUUGUGUGGCGCGUCGUAUCACAACUGCAGAAAGGGUGUUUCCAACAAAUCCAGAGAGCUUUAUUACAAGACAUGAUCUCUCAGGCAAACUUGUCAACAUUGAUACAAACUCCUUACGCUCUUCCAUGAGACCUGGCUUUGAAGAUAUAAUUCGUCGCUGUAUCCAGAGGUUUUUGUGCCACAACGACGGGCAGUCGUGGUCAAACAAACGCCACUAUCACGAAGCUUAUACACAGGGUCAUGCUGAAACCCCGUUGUAUCGGUUUUCUUUAGCUGAUGGGACCAUAGUGACAGCACAAACCAAGAGUAAACUGUUCCGAAAUCCUGUAACCAAUGACCGCCAUGGAUUUGUCUCUACCCACUUCCUCCAAAGAGAACAAAAUGGAUAUCGGCCAAAUCCCAAUUCUGUUGGGCAAAACAUCAGAACACCUGUGGCUGGAAACACAAAUUCUGUUGGUGGUCUUAUGAACAUGUCACCUGGUCAAGGCAUGCCAGUGCAGAACAGGAACUAUGGUAUGGGAGAUCCCAGUGCAGUGGGUCAGCUCAGCAGCACUCGAUAUGGAGGCCCUGGGAAUAUGGGGCCAGUGAGCUCUGGACCUGGAAUGCAAUCCUCUGCUUAUCAGAACAACAGCUAUGGGUUAAAUAUAAAUAGCCCACCACAUGGUAGUCCUGGUUUAACUUCCAACCAACAGAAUCUGAUGAUAUCUCCUAGGAAUCGAGGGAGUCCAAAAAUGAGCUCACACCAGUAUUCACCAGUUACAGGUAUGCACUCACCAAUGGGAUCUGCCAGCAACACAAGCAACAGCACUUUCUCUAGCAGCUCUCUCAGUGCUCUGCAAGCCAUUAGUGAGGGUGUUGGAAAUUCCCUUUUAUCAACACUUUCUUCACCGGGUCCAAAAUUGGAUAAUUCCCCAAACAUGAGCGUAACUCCGCCAAGUAAAACAAGUACCCAGGACUCCAAAAGCCCUUCUGCUUUGUAUUGUGAACAAAACCAAGUGGAAAGUUCUGUCUGCCAGUCAAACAGCAGGGAUCUCCUUAGUGAAAAAGAGAGUAAAGAGGGAAAUCUGGAGGCAUCUGAAAGUCAGAGAGGACCGUCUGAGAGCAAGGGGCAUAAAAAACUCCUUCAGCUGCUCACGUGCUCCUCAGACGAAAGAGGACAUUCUACAGCAUCAAACUCACCUCUAGACUCAAACUGUAAAGAGCCUUCUACCAGUGUUACCAGUCCUUCAGGAGUUUCCUCAUCAACAUCUGGAGGGGUGUCUUCCUCCUCAAACGUGCAUGGGUCGCUCCUGCAAGAGAAGCACAGGAUUUUACAUAAAUUGCUGCAGAAUGGCAACUCUCCAGCAGAGGUGGCCAAGAUCACAGCUGAAGCUACUGGCAAAGACACGUAUCAUGAUGCUGGUAACACAACCUCCUGUGGAGAAGGCCCCGUCAAACAGGAACAACUGAGCCCAAAGAAGAAGGAGAACAAUGCUUUACUGAGAUACCUGUUAGAUAAAGAUGAUGUUAAGGACCCGCUUUCCAAAGAGCUGAAGCCUAAAGUAGAAAGUGUGGAUAAUAAGAUGGGACAGUGCACUAGUUCUACAAUUCCUACUUCUAGUCAAGAAAAAGAGAUGAAAAUAAAAAUGGAGCCAGCAGAGGAGAUGAAUGGAGACUUGGAUAAUUUGGAUGCAAUUCUAGGUGAUCUGACUAGUUCAGAGUUUUACAAUAAUGCUAUGUCUGCCAAUGGAAAUAACCUUGGAACAAAGCAAGCAUUAUUUCAAGGAAAUGCCUUAUUGGGUGUGAAGAGUUCCCAGUCUGUGCAGGCUACUCGCCCUCCUUUUAACAGAGCCAUGUCUUUAGACAGCCCUGUGGGCUCAAGCUCUUCAGUGAGGAAUGUCAAUGCAUUCUCCAUGUUACAAAAGCAAAACUUGAUGGGUGGAAGUCCAAGAAUGAUUGAAAACCAAGAAAAUUUUGGAGCAAAUCUGGCAACUGCUCCCAACAGGAACGUGGCCAUGAAUCAGCAUCAGCCCGACUGGGGUUUGCCAAACUCCAAGGGGAGCAGGUUGGACCCCGCAGGCUCUGCCGGGCUGUUGAGGGCAGGCCCCGAGUUCGGCCCCGCGGCGCUGCCCCGGCCCGCGGGCGGCUCUGGGGCUCUGCCCCUGCGCUCCCACAGCCUGCCCGCCUCCAGGCCAGGCCUGCAGCAGCCCAUGAUCCACAUGAGGCCAAAUGAGAUAAACAUUGGCAUGGCAGGGAAUCCCUAUGGACAGCCUGGACCUUCUAACCAGCCUGGACUGUGGCCUGACAACGUGCUGUCCGUGGAGCAGGCGUCCCGGGGGUCACAGAACAGACAGCUAGUUAGAAACUCUUUGGAUGACCUCUUAUGUUCAGCUCCAAAUAUGGAAGGCCAGAAUGAUGAAAGGGCACUUUUGGAUCAGCUGCACACAUUGCUGAGCAAUACAGAUGUCACAGGGCUGGAAGAAAUCGACAGAGCAUUAGGAAUUCCUGAUCUUGUAAGCCAAAAGGGACAAGCUUUGGAACCCAAACAAGAUUCAUUUCAAGGUCAGGAAUCUUCCGUCAUGAUUGACCAGAAGCCUUCGUUAUAUGGCCAGCCCUAUCAAGGGCAAGGGGCAACAAUGCCAGGAGGUUUUAGUAACAUCCAGGGACAACAGCCAUCUUUUAAUUCAGUGAUGAAUCAGAUGGGCCAACCAAGCAACUUCCCACUGCAGAGUGUGCAUCCCAGGGCCAACGUGAUGAGGCCUCGGACCAACACCCCCAAGCAGCUCCGCAUGCAGCUCCAGCAGAGGCUCCAGGGCCAACAGUUUAUGAAUCAGACCCGUCAGACGCUUGAAAUGAAAAUGGAAAGUCCAGUCAGUGGAAAUACCUCAGCAAUGAGACCAGUUAUGCAGCCACAGGUGGGAUCACAGCAAGGUUUUCUUAAUGCUCAAAUGGUGGCUCAGCGUAACAGGGAACUAAUAAGUCACCAUUUUAGACAACAGAGGAUGGCAAUGAUGAUGCAGCAGCAACAGCAACCUCAGGCCUUCAGUCCACCACCAAAUGUGACUGCCACAGGAAGCAUGGAUAGUGCUUUGACAGGCCCUCCAAUGGCUCAAGUUCCUCCACAGCAAUUCCCCUAUCCACCUAAUUAUGGUUUAAGCCAACAACCUGAUCCUGCAUUUAGCAGAGUAUCAAGCCCUCCCAACCCAAUGAUAUCAUCAAGAAUUGGACCCUCCCAGAAUGCUGUGAUGCAGCAUCCUCAGCCAGCAGCAAUGUACCAGUCCUCAGAGAUGAAGGGCUGGCCAUCAGGAAGCAUGGCCAGGAACAGUUCUUUCCCCCAGCAGCAGUUCAGCCAUCAGGGCAAUCCAGCAGCCUACAGUAUGAUGCACAUGAAUGGCAGCAGUGGCCACAUGGGACAGAUGAGUAUUAAUGCCAUGCCUAUGUCAGGAAUGCCCAUGGGUCCAGACCAGAAGUACUGCUGACACCAGAACCACAUCUUCAAGCAAGAAAGGCUGUAUUACUGAUGCACUAGUGUUGGAAAGGAAGAUGACUCAGACUGGGCUUGCAGAAGUUACUUCAUUCAGAGGAAAAAAUAAGCCAAAAAAAAAAAACCUAUCCCAAAAAAAAAAAAAUUUAGUAGAAGAAGUCUCUGUAUUACUGUAUAUUGUGGAGUACAAAAAAAGUUUGUUAAUAUUUUUGGCACUCUUCCUCUAGAACUGUGAAUUUGGUAAUGGCAUUUUAGUAGAUUGGAUGGGUAGGCUCCUGGUGUACCUGAUCUGUUUACUGUAUCCAAAGCCCUUCAGCUACAGGCAGACAAAAGUGCCUGGAGAAGUCACAGUGGUAAGAAUUUUUGAUUUCUCUAGUAACAGUAUCUGACAGAGAAUGUAGUCUUAGCCUUGACUCUUUUAUAUUAACUCCUGAAUAUAAAUGCUGCUUUUAGUCUCUUACCCCCAAGAGUCAGGGAUUUCCCAAGCAAAGUAGCAGUGCAAAAUGAAUUGGCACAUUCUAGUCCAGAAUCCUGUCCACUGAAGCCAAGGGUUAAAAAGAGAGGAUAAACAGUUUAAAUUAUUUAAACACAGUUGUGACUAAUAUUUACAUAUUGCUGUGCAGCUGAGUGCACUUUAUAGAAGACUAUAUAAUGGAUUAAUGCAAUAUCUUUGAUAAGGACUUAAUAUGAAGGUAGGGGUGUACUCAUGUUCCUUCUCAAACACAAUCUCUUAAGAAUUAUUUGAAAAGACUGCAUAAUGUAAUGUGUUCUGUGUAUGGAAAUUAGAGCAAUAAUCUUUCAUCUUUUUUGGAAAAUAACUUCAGAAAAGGCAAGGCACUGCAGUCAGAAUCAGAAUUUUGCAGUCUUUUUUGUGAAUAAAUUUUGUAAAUAUGAUCUUUAAGAUAAUGUAUUAUAUAUAUGACUUUUGUAGGUCACUAACUCAUUUUUGCAGAGUUUGUGAAGCUAAAUAUUUAACAAAAUUGAUUUCUGUAAACUCAGUGUAGUUGAGGUCCAAAUAGAAUUUUUCUUUAAUUAGAUUUAAUGACUUUAAAGCUGGGUGACUUUGGCCCACGUAUUUCUCUUUUUUCGGUCUUCAACACUUCAUUUAUUUUUACAUCUUUAACAUACAGCUUUUUAUAAAAAAGACCGGUUGUAAAAUGCUUUCUCCACCUGUGAGCACUUUUGUUACAUGUCCUUUUUUUACAGAAGGCAGUUUGACACAAAGGCUCUGCAUUGUGAGAUGUCCCAGCCUGUCAGGACAGUCAUGUCUUUCUGUAAUAGGUCACCUUUUCAGCUGAUGAAUCUGGAUUGUGUCUUUCUUGGUCAAUUUUAAUGAGCUCUAAGUGUUAUCUUUGGAAAUGUUCGUCUGUUGCAAAAUGUUUGUUGUUACAUGACAUCCAGAAAUCUUCAAGGAUAUUAAGCCACACUUUACCCAAAUGUCUGCACCUCCAUUGGAUUGGUCUAAUAGGAAGGAAUGUAUUUUCUAAGCAGGUUUCUCUGAUAUCAGUAUUUAAGUCUGGUUACAUAUUAUUUGCUGAUAACUUGGGGGGUUUUUUCCCCUCCAUUUUGGGGCCUUGGAAUGAAGAUCCCUUUGCAGUUUUUAAAGUUACAACAAGUCAAACCUCUAAACUUCCCUAAGUGAUGACCCAGAAAUGUUUAAGAUGUGUGGUGCUCCUGUUCUGUUGUUCACUGUGUAAUGGAAGACUGAAUUCUCCCAAGUGAGUACAAAAAACCAACCCUGAUCUGUGUUCUUUAUUGCUUGUUCUUGGUACCUUAGCAAGAGGUGGUUUUAUUGUUCAGAAUAUUCAGUGAUCUUCCAUUUUAAUAGAAAUAACUCUAAAAAAUAGAAAUAGUCUCAAAACAUUCAUCCUUCGCAUCCAGUUGUAUUCCUAAGGGAAUGUAGAUCAGUCAAUCUCUGCCAUUAGCACUGAGUAAACAGAUCAGGUGACAGCAUUUAUUUGAAAUCCUCUGUCCAAUUCAUGUGUGUUUUAUAAUGCAAAACUUUUAAAAGCCUGAGGAACUUUUCUCUUUUUUUUUUUCCUUUUUUACAUUUCUUAGAACAUAUCUAUUUUAAGUGCUGCCUACUGAAGCUGAAAGGCAACAAUCCCAUGCUUUUUAUAUCAGAUCAGAGCAGAACAAUCUUUAUAUUUUGUAGUUGUUCAUUAUAUUGAUGGAAACUACAAACCCUGGUUGCUUUCAUUAGUGAGCUCUUAGGACUAUGGACUGCUUUAUACAUCCUGCCCUACAAUUUUUGUAAAGUGAUUCUGUUUGUACAUCUGUGUUUAACUGGUACCUGACUGAUGUUUUAAGGAUCAUCAUUUUCUCAUCUGUGUUUAGAUUGUACCUUUUUUUUUUUUUUUUUUUUGCUGAAUCCAAAGAUUUUUAGUUUAAACUUGAUUAAGGGGGAGGGGGGCAUUUUUAAAAAGCAUUGAUGAUGACAUCUUUCUUGGCAGCACUAAUCCUGCAUAGUACAUCUAGUUUGACAUCUGCUGACAUUUAGUUAUUGACAUCAAUUUUGCUUUGGUUCUGUGGCAGCAGAUUUUUCUGAAUGCUUUUAAAAAACAACCUGUAUAAUGUUAUUCAACAGUAGGAGAUCAAUUAGCUAGUACAGCCACCUCUGAUCACUGCUGCAUAAAUGUGUUGUUUUACUACGUGUCUCUUUUGAUCACAGAAACCAUGUGGUUAUUAAUAAAACUCAUAUGUAAUACUUUUUUUUUUUCUUGGCCUAAAAUACUGCUUUCAAAGUUAGAAAAUCCAGACCACGUUUCAGUCACAAGACAAAACUUAUUUGAAUGUUGCACCAAUUAGCACACCUUUUAUUUUAGAAUUUAUGUGCAGGCUACCAGAUGACAGAAUGAUACAGCAAGUAUGAAACCAUGUAAUUCUGAGAGCAAUAUUUAAAAAAAUUCUCAGGAGAAGGCAUACAGUAUUGAGAACUGCAUUUAAGUUUAGUUUACAUUGUAAGUAUUGCUUGAAAUAUCUGUAUCUUUAUUUUGCAAAACAGAAAAAUCACGGGGACUGAUUUAUAAAAGAGUUGGUUGUAAGGUAUUACCGCCCUUCUGGCUUUUGUGUUUGGAUGUUAAUAAUAAUGUAAAUAAAGGUUUCUAUUUAAAAUCAGAACUUGAUUAGCUGUCUAAUACUUUAAGGUUCAUGACUGUAUCCUGCAAAGGUCAGAGAAAAUUCGGUGCUGCCACUGAGGAAAACUGUGCAGAGAAUGAUUUCCAUCUUCUCCUAAUUGGCUGCAAAAGCUGAGGGAGCAACAACUGCGACCUUUCCCUGCUGGGACCCAUUUAGCACCGAGAUGUGUUGUCUUUGUCAACUCAAACUGCAGUUUGUACAAGAGCUGAAAGGUGAAGAGGUGGCAGCCUUCCCCAAUUUGGCAACAACUUACCUUUCACAAAACAGCAGCUGCUUCUUGUGUCCCAAAGAACCCCACAGCUCAGGGGGCUGUGUAAAGGAACACGGUAACUUUUUUCAACAGGAGCAGGAACACUGGGCCCUGCAGGAUUUUCACCAUCACACCCUCAGCUGGCCAAGGACUAAAGGCUGAACACACAAAAAAAGGUAAGUGCCAAUUUUUUUACAUCUAACCUCAGAUUCUUUCUGUAAAGUUUAGGAGAUGGCUAAAAUUUUUCUCUGGGAAGCAGCAAAAAUGUGUUUCGUUUUUCACUUAUUUGUAUUGAUUCAAGAUCUCAUCAUCUAGUAGAUAUUUCUAAUAAUCCAUGAAAGCUGUAACAAGUUGCAAAGAAACUCUAUGGCUAGAUUAAGACAGACAAUCAUAUUUUACUUCCAUAAUUUAAAAAAGCUUGCAAGAAAACUUUGGGAAGUAUAUUUGACUUAUCACAUGUAAUACAAAUACUCAAGCCCAGUCUUGCUGUAUAGCACAUUUACAAAGACUCCACUUCUGCUUUUGGAGCAGGUUUUUGUUUUAUGAGGGUUUUUUGUUUGGUUGGUUGGUUUUUCCUUAGUUCCUAAAUCCAAGUCUAAUUUUUGAGUAGGGGGGUGUGGUACCAGAGAUCUACAUGCCUGGAUAUGAUUCCACUUGAUUUUCCUUAUGUGCAAAAACCAGGAAGAAUAAUUUCCAUGCUGUAUUUUUUUCUUUUUUUUUUUUUUUUACACUACAUUUCUAAAAGAGCAAGUUAAGUUUCUGUUUUAGAAGAAAAAGUACCUCUUUGUUAGGAUUGAAGGCCACAGUUGGUCAAGUCCUGCCCCAUGAGCACCCUCGGGCACGUGCCUUUAAAACAGGUAGCAGAGUAACAUGGAUUAUAAAUACAAAUCCCACCACUAGUGCCUGUGCUACAAUGGCCUGUACUACAAUGUAUUUAAUAAUGUCCUUAUGAAAAUACUCAAAUAACUCUGUACACUGUGCUUCUUUAGUAAAAUGAUAGGGUUUUUUUUUUUUUCCCUUUAAAAGCCUUUAAACACUAACUGUCAUUCAGAACUUCAACUUUUUUUGUAGGCUAAACUAUUAACUAGGUUAUUCUUUAUUGACUACAAGUAUUGAACUUCUCAGAGCUGCCUUUUUUAAAAAAUAAAUGUAGAAGUUACACUGCUGAGCAAACGCCGCUUUCUCAAAGGAGUUGUUUUGGUUUUGAACACACAAUAGGCUAUUACCACAAAAAAAACCUUCAUACAAAUCUGAUUUUGUUAAAAUUUGAGAUGUACAUUUACUGAAACUUUUCAGUACUUCUAAAAAUGGAUGAAUUCUGACUGUCCUAAGCCACAGUAAGUAACAUUUUGAGAAACAGGGCAUGGGCAUUACACUCUUUUUAUUAACAAAAUUCUUUACAACCUGAAGGAAUUGCUUUGCAAACAGUAUAUUGAGCAAUAUUUUACAUAACCCCUCCAAAGAUCUGUUAGUGAAGAUUUUCUCUCAAUCUUCAUAGAGGUGGCAGUAGGAUGGACAAACAGACGUGGAACUAAAACGUAUCCUCAGAGGAGACGGGAGAAAUGUCGUGGUGUUGAGAACACUCAGUGCUGCUCAAAGUUCUGCUCAACCACUGCCUUCACCCCAGUGAGAAGCAAAAGCAUCCAUGAUUCUAAAUCUUGCUUUAGAGUUAGACUUGGCUUUGAAGUGUUUCUGGUGACAACUGAAGAGAAAGUUGAACUGCAAAUUGUUUGGAGUUUCCCUCAGCUGUCUGUAAACGCUGGAAUGGCUCCCUUGGGGAUGGGGCUGUGCUUCCUCUUCUCUCAAUUCCUGCCUCAGCGUUACUUGUGUCUUCUGGAAGUAAAAUGCCUCGUGAAGCAGGUGAGGUAUAAUCCAAAGCAAAAAGCAGGUACAAUAGUGGAGUUCAGAGACCUGUAUUUCUGACAGCAUUUCCCACAGUUUCACUGCAUCUAUUCAACUCACUCACCAGUGCAAACGUUCUACCUAUUUCAGCCUCAGAGUUUAUCCAGUCCUUCAGGCUAAUGUUACAAUUCAUUUAGUCUGUACAUGGAUUCAAGUUCUGGCCAGUUUGUAUCCUCAUGGAGGUGCAGCAGUUGGGGAGAUUAGCCCUCCCAGCCUUCCCACAGUUGUCCUCUUUAAAAUAAAACAAACACAGUUUUAGUGUACAACAUUCCAGUAGAAAGCAGUUAAAUCUUUUUAAUGAUUCCAUGCAGUAAAAACCAAUGGAAACGCUGUGCACCACCUAUAAAACCACAGCAGGUGUAUGACAGAAACAAUCCAACUCUGUUUGAAACUUCAACCUGUACAAAGCUUGCUAAUUCAAGCUUCAUUCUGGUUCUAAAGCCAGUCUUAGAUCUCUUCAACUAGAAAUAAAAAUACUCUAUUACAUGAGCAAAUCCUCUUGGGCAAGUGAGAAGGCCACACUCUGUCUAGGAAGGGACUUGUGCAUAUUUUUUCCACUGCACAGUUUGAGAGCACUUUAUGAUUUUUAAUGAACUGAAAUCUCUGCCUUCUUUUUAAGGGGAGAUUCAGAGACAGUAACUUUUUAAGAACUUAAAUUUGUAUCUCGCCUUUGAGCUCUGGCAGGUUGAGAACUGAAUAUCAUUGUCAAGUUUUAAAGGGCAGCUCAGUAAGAAAAAAAAGUACUCUUAGAUACAAAUCUGUCUUGUAGUCUACUUUCUGUUUUAACUUCCUUUUUUUUGCUCACAACAGAAGGCUGUGGUCAGAUAAAGAGCAAGAAAGCACAAGGUACUGUCUCUCUGCUCGUGAGAAAUUACAGUCGGUUUUGUUCUUUCUGGAUUGGGUGAAAAACCACAAGGUAGCUGCUACUAAUUUAAAUUUAGGCAGAACCAACAUACUGGUCUUUAAAUUUAACUGGCAGUUGACCAUAACUGGUUUCUUCAGCUGAGCAUCCACCUUUACUCAUUUGAAAUUGCCUUGACCUUAACGCUCCUGGAGUGCCAGAAAACAGGGACCAAGAGGUUUUGAGCAGCAGUUGUCAGUAAUGAUGUGCAAGUAUCAUAUUUCUUGCAUAAUUUAGAGGACUUCCCACUUAAGCAUUCCAUGAGAAUGGAUGAUGAUGUUAUAAAAGGUGCUGCAUGCAAAAAGAGAAGGAAAAAGCUAAAGCAAAAGCUUUUGGUGAACUGCUCCCAACUCACAGUGACUUGGCAGAUGAUGGUCUCUUCACAUCUGGCCAUUUUCGACGCUGAAACUGCCUAAUUUUCAAGCAGCAAAAGGAGAAAAAGGUUAACCAUCACCAAGAAAACCAGCAGCACUACAGUCUGAAAGAUGAGGAAGGAGAAGAGUUCAGCCUGAAUUUUGACUACCAAAGUUAGAACAUGAAACAAGUUUCAAAGCAACUGGGGUGGAAGGGCCUUUCAAAUGCCCUUCCAGGCCAUGCCUGUCCAUGUGGUUCCCAAUCCCACACUUGUUUUUUCAGCAUGAAAGUAGCAUUUAACAAUAAAAAAGUAACUUUUUUUUUUUAAAUGUACCUGUACUGCUCGUAGCUUCCAUCUUUAAGUCCUAGGUAAAGAAAAAUUAACAAUGUUACCUGGGAUUGCCUGUCUCAGGUAAGACAGUUUUAAAAAAGACUUAAUAACUUAACAGAUCACCCACUGCCCUGAGUAACCUGGCAUGCCCUCACAUCUGACCCUGCACUUGAGCAUAAGUUUGGAGCAGAACUCCACAAGUCUCUUCCAACCUGAACUGGCCUAUGAGCUUGAAAUAGUGGCUAUCAGGGUAUUCUUUCCCUCUUUCACCAGUAUCUUUCUUUCCUCAUCAUCCUCUGCAUCUCUGUAACACUCAUCACUAGGCUGUUUAAAUAUCAUUCUUAAUUUUAAAAACAUCACAUAACACAAACUGAACACCUACAAAAAUCUAAGCAUGCAGUUACCAGCCUCAGCAGGACAUUACCAGUAUUGAGAAAUACUAAAAUCCUUUUGACUGAUUCAAGUUUCAUAAUGGUAAGAGCGAGCCCCAUUUCCUUUUUGGGGGGGGGGGUUGUGAGUGCAACAGGAGAGGCACUUACCUAGAUCCAUGUUCCUAGUUCUUGGAUUGCAUUGCUUAUACCCUUUGCAGCUCCUGAGUUCCAUGAGCUGGACGUGCAGUUGAUUGAGAACAUCUCUGUCGAGUGUAUUCACUGCAUUAAUUAGCUGCAAUAAACAGGGGGUUCUUGUUAGUAAAUAUUGCUCUGUAGUUUGAUAGCUUUCAUAUAUGGAAUACAGGUGCUUUAUCUGUAACAGGAAAGAGCCAAAUUAUACUGGUUUAAGUGAUAGAGGCCUUAAAUUACAUCCUGCAGCAAUACUGGGCAAUUUCAGUUGAUUGUCAAUAACAAAAAAUGCUGUUAUUUCUUGAGGUCUAUGACCAGAUACCUGAUAUGGAUCGGUAUUGAGAUCAAAAUACUCCAGAAAUCCAGUAGCAAAUUCACAGAACAGGAAGUUGUGGGUCUCGUUGAUUGUCCUCAAACACCAGUACGUGUUGUUGUUGGCACUGGUACAGGCACAGAAAGGGCCCACUGCAAAUGGAAGAGUUAUAAAGGCAUCAGCUACAGUCUUUAGCACUGCUAAUUAUUUCUGUUUACAAGCAUUACUUGAUUCACAGAGGGUAACUCUCACUCCUGAGCUCUAAAGCAGAGAAUGCCUUCCAGCAUCAUCUCUUGCUCUGUGCACACCUAACCCACACCACACGGCUCAUUAAAGCAACAUCUUCUCCAGUUGGGAAACAUUCCAGAUGGUGAGGUACCACACCCAUCACUGUACACUGUGCACUGUCUGCUGGUUACUUGCAGUUGUUUUUACCUCCCUUGCCUUUUGUGCAGCACUGGAACAGAUUCUUUCCUUUGGGGCAGCCUUGGCUACACAGGCACUGAAACCCCAAACUCGGAACCCAACAGCCCGGCCCGGGCCAGGCAGAACCCACCUCCCUGCUCCCGAGUUUGCAGUAUCCUUACGUGUCCAGAGGGGAGCAGUUUGCCAGUGCUGGUUGUCGUGGGUGAAGCAGGUGAGCCCGGGCAUGCUGCACGUGUCGUUGUUUUUGAUUCUCUUCAGCAGCUUGCGCAGCUUCUUCUUCCUCCUCUGCUCCCGCAGCAGCCACAGCCUGUCCUUCUCCUGGAGGGCCUUCCUGCACACACGAAACAUCAGGGUCAUGCAAACUCUGUUACACUUGAAUGCACCCAAAAAACCCCCAAUAGCUCGUAAAAUAAGCUGCUCUGAGGGAAAGAAUCAACAUCUUUUUAAUUAAAUGGCUUCUCCUCCAGAUGGAGAUGACUCUGCAAUUCAACAGCACUGGAAAAUGAAAAUGCAGCCAAAGGGGCUUACAGGGCUUGCCUGAGGAUAAAUGAAGCACUAGUACUUCUGCUUAGUUUGUGUGGACCAAAUGUUAUAAUGACUUGGCACAUCCUCUUUCAAAGGAACAGCCCGUCACUUACUUGAAAGGAUGAAGACUGGAUCCCUUGUGCCUCAGCUUGGUUUUGUGUUUUGAAUGAUAACUGGAAAAUAAAACCAGCAUUGUUGGUGAA